Molecule: ribosomal RNA, 161 nt
Filed under: Schwanniomyces vanrijiae
Lineage: Eukaryota; Fungi; Ascomycota; Pichiomycetes; Serinales; Debaryomycetaceae
Description: partial large subunit ribosomal RNA
Rfam family: Eukaryotic large subunit ribosomal RNA
Source: RNAcentral
AUUCCCUAGUACGGCGAGUGAAGCGGGAAGAGCUCAAAUUUGAAAUCUGGCAGUCUUCGAUUGUCCGAGUUGUAAUCUAUAGAGGCGUUUUCCGUGCCGGACCGUGUCCAAGUCUCCUGGAAAGGAGUAUCAAAGAGGGUGAUAAUCCCGUACUUAACACG